Toxotes jaculatrix (banded archerfish) is the source of this 192-nucleotide small nuclear RNA. RefSeq annotates it as U2 spliceosomal RNA. The record is from RefSeq and is a predicted model, not a curated record. Lineage: Eukaryota; Metazoa; Chordata; Actinopteri; Toxotidae. The transcript has a single exon.
AUCGCUUCUCCGCCUAUUGGCUAAGAUCAAUUGUUGUAUCUGUUCUUAUCAGUUUAAUACGUUGUUUCUCAUCAUCAUCAUCAUUAUCUGCCGCUUAUCUGGGGCCGGGUCGCAGGGGCAGCAGUCUAAGCAGGGAUGCCCAGACUUUGCUCUCCCUGGCCACUUCCUCCAGCUCUUCCGGGGGAACCCCCG